UGACGGUCCAGGAAUCCGGGGGCCUGGAUUCUGACGUCACCACACAAAACCUUUUAAAAACACCCUUGAAAACCUUUUUUUUUUUUUUUUGAAAUGAUAAUAAAAGUCAAAGGAUUUAAAACUUGAAAUUCAAACUUGAAAGCCAUAAUAAAAGAUUUGAAAGAGAACAUUUGAACCCCCUAAAACAACAGGAUCGCAUCCAGGUUACAAUAUUGAAAUUAGAAUCCACCACUAAUAUUACACAACUUCUCUUACCAAAUCAGAUCAUCUUCGAUAAGAAGAAUCACUGUCAACCUACUCCAGCCAUGACUUACAUCUGAAUCUUCAUAGCAUAACUCUAGCUAGCACCAACCUUAUCAACUUCCCUGAACACUCCUCGAUCACUGGAUCCUCAACUCUGUCUCCUCGCCUAGCAUUAGCCUUAUUCACAAUCUCAAUCAAUCAUCUCAUCUUUAAGCCUUUCUGAAAUGGUUAGAAAGGAAUAGCAAGGGUGAGCAACAAUGCUCAGCAAGUAAUAAUAAACAAUGAUAAUUCUGAAAUGAUAUAACAGAAGUUCACGAGUUCAAGAUAUAAAAGGAUUCAACCUGAGUUCAUGAAUUCAUGGUAUUGUAUAGAAUGAUUUACAAUACCUUGCAGCAUUUAAACUGAGAAAUUCAAUCUUUGCAAAGAAUUAUUGAAUUGGACUAUCACAUUUUAAUUAAAACCAAGGUUAGGCAGCUGAUCAGUUCCGCACUAACCCCGAGCAGGCCCCGCCAUGCUCUAUCACUGGAUCCAAGGCACUCAUUGGCCUAACAUGACCACGAAUCUGGUCCACAGGUUUAUAUAAAAACAAUAAUCCAAUUCUCUAAUUCAAUUCAAGAAGCCAAUGUAAAUUAACAGAACAUCAUCAUAAAUAUCAUCAACAACAGAAUAAUUCCAAUUCAAACUUUGAUAAUAAUCUAUUCAUAAAUCAUGAUCCAUCAUUUCAUAAAUCACAGUUCAGGAAAUCCUCAACUAUUCAGUAUCCUCCAUUAUCGGCUAAGCAACUGAAUUUAGCCUGCUAAACCAGCAUGACAAUGGCGGGUUGAAUAAUCAAGAAGAUCCCAAUUCAUUCAAAGCUCUAACUAUCACUGAGCAACACAUGCUUCAAUGACAAUCUGAACUUCGAAUUAAUUUGUAAAACGGAAAUUCUUUAGAAACUUGAAGAUUAGAAAGAAUGGGUCAGAAUACUCGCACUUUCGAACAUUGAAAAGAAAGGUAUGAAUACUUGAAACAUAUACCAAAGGAAUGGAUCAGAAUAUUUGCAAUAUAUCCAAGAGAAGGGUUUAGGAUACUUGCAACACAUCAAAAGAAUGAAUCAGAAUAUUUGCAAUAUAUCCAAAAGCAGGGUGCAGGAUACUUGCCUUAAAUCUGACUCCCGUCUCACAGCUCAUUCUCAUCUUUCAACUUUCACAAUCUAUGCAUCUCGUAAUCUCUAGACCAUCUCUAGCUAUACUCUAUUCGCCACAUCGCUUCGCUUACUCGAUUCAUCCCUUAUUCGCUUUGCAAUACCAUUCCGACUUUCUGACGUCUUCGAGCGUACACGUCUCGUCCAAAUCCUUUACGAGAAUAAGAUAAUACUAUAGUCACUAAACAAUAUAUCGCAUAUACAUAUCACGUAUAUCGAUACCCACUUAUAUAUCCCUUUAAACUUAUCAGAUACCACGUAACACAUAAGCAUGCUUUGACUCUAACAUAUAGUCAAUCAUAUUCCACAUAACAUAUCACCAAUCAAUUAUCAUAUAAAUCCUUAUCGAAAAUCCGACAUCGUCUCGUCUAUGUAUAAGACUAUCCACCUGUUAUCCUAUCUCAAUCAUUAAUCAACCAACAAAAUCCAAUAACUAUAAUCCAUAUAUUCUUAUCCAAUAUCAAUCAUACGAAUCAUUUAUCACUUCACAAUAUCAAAACUAACACGUACUUCACAUAAUCAUCACUUGAUAGCACUUAGAUCACAUAUUAUCACAUUAUGCAUACUUAUCAACAAUUAUUCACCUUAUAGACUCAGCCAUAUAGUCACAUCAUAUUAAAAUAGACGUUAUAAGCUUCUGUCUCUCUUUCGUUUCACUUGAUUCCGACUUACGGAUCAAAAGUUAUGCUCAAAACAGUUUUCUCACUCUCCUAUCGGCACAUAACACAUCCAACCAAUAGCAGACAACACACAACACAUAAGGUUUCCCAUCCCAAUUGAUAUUAAAUCAAGUCUUGGGUUAAAAAUGAUUUUUCGGGAAUUUUCUGGAAUUUUUAAACAUUUUUCGGAAUUAAAAUCGAUAAAAGAAUCACUUUUCGGAUAAAUAAUCAAGUCCCAAAUACUUGAAAUUGGACUUGAAAUCAUUCAUAAACAAUAAUAGAGCCUUGAAAAUAAUUUAGAAAAAUAUUUCAAAGCUCGAAACUAUUUUUCGGAAUUUUUAAAUCAAAAAGAAUAAUUAAAUCCAAUUAAUUAAUCAAUUAAAAUCAAUUAAUAAUUAAUUAAAAUAAUUAAUCAAUUAAUAUUUAAAUUAAUUGACCAAUUAAAAUAAUUAAUUACUAAUUAAAAUUAAUUAAUAAACUAAUUUAGAUUUAUUUUUGAAUAAAGAAAUAAUUAAAAACUAUUUUUGGAAUUUAAAAUAAUUAAAUAAAACAAUUUUAGAAAAUUAAAUCAAAAGGUUUAUUUUGUAAACUUUUGAAAGUUUUCGGCCAAGGUUCAAACUGUAACUUUUAGAAGUUACAGGGGGUAAUUUGUAAGUUUCAAAACCCGAGUACAACAUCUUCAUCAUCUUUCAAACCCUGGGGGCCGUUUAGCAGUUUUACACCGCCACCGCCCCCAGGUCGCCGGAAAAUGCUCCUCCGGCCUCCAACGGCCUCCAAACUCUCCAGAUCACUUACCCACACUCCCACAAACUCAUUUCACAGCUUAACUUAUGCAGAAACGCGGCCAUCUGGCCGGAAAACGCCCCGUAAGCGACGGUGGCGACAUUUUCCGGCGGCCAUAACCCGCCUCCGUUGCUCGUUUUCUCUACACCAUUCAACUCAUAUCCCUACGAUCUACCUAGUGGCAUAUUUAGUUUAUACCCAGAUUCAACCGAACGAAAAAUCCGGCAAAACUCAAAGUUUCCGGCGAAGAAACUCAAGAACACCAAGAACAUGCUUACAAGAAUUAAACCCCAUUUUCUAUAUGUUACCGAACUCGAAAUUCAACAUAUAAUAUACCAAAACGACGAGAAAAACACGCUCUACAACAUGACAUCAUCAAAUCACAUAAACGACAUCGUUUGCAAAAAUUCAACAUUUAAAAGCAAAUAAUUCGAAUUUUAUAAAAUUAAUCUAAAAUCACCUGUUGAAUCUGCACACAAACGGAUGAUUAAACUAGAUUCUACGCGUCGAUAGCUUCGUUUUGACUAUUCAUACGCCUCCAUCGGACUCCAAUAACGCCUUCAAAUCUUCGUUUGAUUAUGAAGAACACGAAGAACACCGCUCGGUUUCUCUCGGUAUUCGUGCAGAGAAACUGGUGAAAUGAUUUUACGGGUGAAAAUAAGCUCUAGAAAGGUAUAUUUAUAUUUACAAAUAAUUGGUACCCCUUUGGAUCGUUUAUGACAUGAAAAUACGUAUUUAAUAGCUUUAUAUUAAGAAAGUGGGGUCCAAUCGGUACUAGUUUUCAAGAUAAUCAUCAAAACGGGGCUUUUUAACUCAAUUAUUGGUCUGCGGGUCCCACUGCAAUUAUUACAUGAUAAGGAUGAAGAAAAUAUCCCGUUUCACGUUUAUCGAGACAAACGGAUAAUUAUCGACAAUUACAAUACCCGAAAAACUCCGCCGGACCGACUCCAGGGAAAACCGUACUCCGGAUCGAAAAAGUCAAAACACGAAAAGUGUCCGGAAUAUUCAAAUUAGGCUAAAGGUGAGUUUUCUCGAAACUUCCGGGAAGAAAAUUUGCUACACCGUUACGAGUGAACGGUUUUCGAAUAAUCAAAUAAUCAAUAAUUAAAUAUAAAUAUACGCAAUUAAAUCCGUAAAUCGAUUAUAAAAUCAUCUAACAUUCCAUAAAUCGAUAUGAAAAUAUCCAAAUAAACUAUAUUUUCUCCUGAGCAUAUUAAAAUCUCGCGAAUACGAACACAUACGAGCAUUCAGCUCAAUAAACUUGAUAACGCAAAAUUCACAAAAUUAUAUAAUAAUCACAUAAUAAUCAUAAAUGACCAUAAUUAAUUAAACGAGCAAUACCACAAGUAACAUUUAGUCACAUACCACAUAUAUUCACAUAAUUAUCAUCUAGAAUUUUCAAAACAAUAUAUGAAAAUCAGUUUUGAAAAUACAAUUAUUUAUUAACCCGGGGGUUUAAAUAUAAACCUUUGAAAACUCACUAAACUGGAAUAAAAUAUUAAAUCUUAUUCCUUUCUUUAAAUCUACACGUCGAUAGCUUCGUUUUGACUAUUCAUACACCUCCAUCGGAUUCCAAUAACACCUCCAAAUCCUCGUUUGAUUACGAAGAACACGAAGAACACACUUCGGUUUCUCUCGGUAUUCGUGCAGAGAAACUGGUGAAAAUGAU
RNAcentral lists this long non-coding RNA (4537 nucleotides) under Daucus carota (carrot). Its description in RNAcentral is "long non-coding RNA (DCAR_LNC006878)". Lineage: Eukaryota; Viridiplantae; Streptophyta; Magnoliopsida; Apiales; Apiaceae. The record is from RNAcentral.